UAUACUGAUAAUUUAUGGUAUCAAGUAUUGGGUAAAUCAAGAAACAAUAUUUAUAUAAAGUGUGCGUCAUAAAUGAAAAUUAGAAAUACCAAACACCCUCUAAAUUAAAGAAACAUAUAUAAAAAUAAGGAAAAUAAAUUUGUCAUAUAAUAUAUACUCCUGCGAAAGAAAAGAAGAGUAAAAAAAAAAAAACUACCACCACAGCCGCCGCCACCGGCUUUCGGAUGCAACCGCCCUCCGCCGUCCCCCGUCGUACCACCAUUACUGUUUCAUCCUGUUUGUCAUCUCAGUGGGUCAAGCUCUAAUUGGUUUACAAGAUGCUUGGGGGUUAGCAAGGGGCUUGUGCUGCUAGGAGAACCAAACAUGCCUUGAAAGAUGAGCCCCUGUGCCUAACAGGGUACAUUAAAGGAGUGGAAUAGAUCUACUAUCGAGGAAGUGAAGUUGAUUUUAUAGGUCAAAUGGAUUUUUUGGCAGGACUUUAACUUUAGGCUUUGAUACCUUGUUUGCACAUGGGAAUGUUUCAUACGGUAUACCAGACACGGAGUUACAAUGCUAAAGAGAAGGUGAAAUACAUGAUAUGGACCAAUGAAAUGGACCACUGUUUCUCCAAGAUACUUGUAGAGCAUGUAAAAAAGGGAAAUCAAUUAGAUAACACUAUAAAGCCUGCAACAUAUGCAGCCGCACUAGCAAUUUGGAACAAAAAAUUCGGACUUGAG
Cornus florida is the source of this 716-nucleotide long non-coding RNA. RefSeq lists it as uncharacterized. NCBI's taxonomy places the organism in Eukaryota, Viridiplantae, Streptophyta, Magnoliopsida, Cornales, Cornaceae. The record is from RefSeq and is a predicted model, not a curated record. The transcript is spliced from 4 exons.